Molecule: ribosomal RNA, 500 nt
Filed under: uncultured bacterium
Lineage: Bacteria
Description: partial 16S ribosomal RNA
Rfam family: Bacterial small subunit ribosomal RNA
Source: RNAcentral
AUUGAACGCUGGCGGAAUGCUUUACACAUGCAAGUCGAACGGCAGCACGGACUUCGGUCUGGUGGCGAGUGGCGAACGGGUGAGUAAUGUAUCGGAACGUGCCCAGUCGUGUGGGAUAACGUAGUGAAAAUUACGCUAAUACCGCAUACGAUCUAUGGAUAAAAGCGGGGGAUCGCAAGACCUCGCGCGAUUGGAGCGGCCGAUAUCAGAUUAGGUAGUUGGUGGGGUAAAGGCCCACCAAGCCAACGAUCUGUAGCUGGUCUGAGAGGACGACCAGCCACACUGGAACUGAGACACGGUCCAGACUCCUACGGGAGGCAGCAGUGGGGAAUUUUGGACAAUGGGCGAAAGCCUGAUCCAGCCAUUCCGCGUGCAGGAUGAAGGCCCUCGGGUUGUAAACUGCUUUUGUACAGAACGAAAAGGUUUCUACUAAUACUAGGAGCUCAUGACGGUACUGUAAGAAUAAGCACCGGCUAACUACGUGCCAGCAGCCGCCGUAA